GCCCGGUUAGCUCAAUCGGUAGAGCGUGAGACUCUUAAUCUCAAGGUUGCGGGUACGUAGCAUGUUCAACUUACGAAUGUGUCA
Molecule: non-coding RNA, 84 nt
Organism: Xylariaceae sp. AK1471
Lineage: Eukaryota; Fungi; Ascomycota; Sordariomycetes; Xylariales; Xylariaceae
Source: the annotation of a GenBank genome assembly